RNAcentral lists this long non-coding RNA (1278 nucleotides) under Canis lupus familiaris (dog). RNAcentral describes it as "lncRNA (ENSCAFG00040000271.1)". Lineage: Eukaryota; Metazoa; Chordata; Mammalia; Carnivora; Canidae. The record is from RNAcentral.
AUGCUGCUGCUGUCAACCACCACUGGUUGGGCAUGCAGUACCCACAGCCUUCUCGCUCGGCCCCGGCUGCCGCCGCUUUGCCAACUACCAAGAUCACCAGCCCAGGACACUUCUGCAGGACGAGCCUCGGGCCCAAGUACCAGCUGCAGCCCGGGCUUCCCUACUUUCAGAGGCCUUUUUCACCGGCAGUUCCGUGCAGCCUACCUCCCCCCAGGCCUAUUUCCAGGGCCCCCUUCCCUCCGCAGGGGCCCCGAGAGCCUCGCUUCCCCACGCCACCCCUCGGGGCCACCCAGACCCUCGCAAGCCCCCGGCCUCCGCCCCGCCCGGCGUCGGGGACGCCGCCGACUGCCUCACCUCAUCGUCGGAUUCCUCGUCACUGCUCUCUUCCUCGGGCACGCAGCCCCGGCUCGGGCCCCAGCCCCGGCCCCGGCCCCGGCCCCGGCCCCGCUGAAUGCGCGGGCCGGCCCACAGGCGGCGGAGCCGGCGCAGGCCCCGGCGGAGCCCCAGCAAACGGAGCAGGGCCGUGUCCUCCCCGGGCUCGGCUCCGCCCGGCCCCGCCGCGCCGCCGCCGCGCCGCAGAGCUACCCGCACUCUCUCGGCCCCGCUGCCCCGUCCGCCGCGGCCCCCGCCCCCGCCGGAGCCCCGCGGCCGGCCCGGGAAGCGGCCCCGCGCGGAGCCAGGCCCGGGGCAACUGCCGCCGCCCGCCGCCGCCGCCAUCUUGGCACCGUGAGAGGGGCCGGGGAGGCGGGGGGAGGGGCGGCCCGUGCGCAGGGCCGGGGGGAGGGGAGGAGAGGUGGGGCGGGGCGGCUGCGGCUCACGACAGCAACCAGCGCCGCCGCGGGGCCAGCGGGAGCCGGGGGCUGGGCCGGUCACGCGCGGGGCACCACGGGAGCGGGAGUCCGAGGCCAGUCGGCCGUCACCCUUAGACCGCGCCUGAAGAGCAGAGACCCCGUGUUGCGGCCCGAGAGGGGUGAGGCGCAGAGACCUCCGGGAAAUGUAGUCCAGGCGCCUCGCUCCUUCCGCCGAGAGCUAGGGCCGCGCGAGAGCUGGGACUAUAGGGUCCUAACCGAACCCAGAAAACCAUCUCCAGGGCUGCCGGGAGGUGUGGUUUUCGCCCCAAACUCCUCCCAUUGCUCCUGUCGAGACGAGGACACGCGUGAACUACUACUCCCAGGGUGCAGUGGGCUUUGGACCCUGGGAAUCGCAGAGACCCUGGGAAAUGCAGUUCGCGACUUGCCGGAGGCGUGGGCUGGGAAAGGGGCCGCGGCAAAGGAGUAG